RNAcentral lists this ribosomal RNA (119 nucleotides) under Pteropus alecto (black flying fox). Lineage: Eukaryota; Metazoa; Chordata; Mammalia; Chiroptera; Pteropodidae. The record is from RNAcentral.
GUCUACGGCCAUGCCACCCUGAACAAGCUCAAUCCCGUCUGAUCUUGGAAGCUAAGCAGGGUUGGGCCUUGUUAGUACUUGGAUGGGAGACCACCUAGGAAGACCAGGUGCUGUAGGUU